Molecule: ribosomal RNA, 235 nt
Filed under: uncultured bacterium
Lineage: Bacteria
Description: partial 16S ribosomal RNA
Rfam family: Bacterial small subunit ribosomal RNA
Source: RNAcentral
AUCAUGGCUCAGGACGAACGCUGGCGGCGCGCCUAACACAUGCAAGUCGAACGAGCGAGAGAGGGCUUGCUUUCUCGAGCGAGUGGUCGAACGGGUGAGUAACGCGUGAGGAACCUGCCUCAAAGAGGGGGACAACAGUUGGAAACGACGUGCUAAUACCGCAUAAGCCCACGGCUCGGCAUCGAGCAGAGGGAAAAGGAGCAAUCCGCUUUGAGAUGGCCUCGCGUCCGAUUAG